GAAUUUAAACAUGGUUUUUUUAAAAAAAGUUUUUAAUAGUCUUUAUAUAUUAAAUUUAUAAAAUAGUAAAUUAUAGAAGAAAUUUUUUUUCUUAAUUUCUUAAAUAAGAAAUAAGUUAUUAAUUUUUAAACUUGGCGAUGCUUGUGCCAGCCGCCGCGGUUAUACAAGCAAGUUAAUUUUUUUCUUUCUAUAAGGAAAAAAAAAAUUAAAUUUAGUAAAAGUCUUUAUAGGUGAAAUUAAAAGAUUUUAAAUUGUUUGAAUGUUCUA
This 267-nucleotide ribosomal RNA is filed under the name Ixodes hirsti. RNAcentral describes it as "partial small rRNA subunit". The record is from RNAcentral. Lineage: Eukaryota; Metazoa; Arthropoda; Arachnida; Ixodida; Ixodidae.